RNAcentral lists this ribosomal RNA (370 nucleotides) under uncultured bacterium. RNAcentral's name for it is "bacterial SSU rRNA". It matches the Rfam family "Bacterial small subunit ribosomal RNA", at positions 524 to 898 of the family's 1533-position model. The record is from RNAcentral.
UACGGAGGAUCCAAGCGUUAUCCGGAAUCAUUGGGUUUAAAGGGUCCGUAGGCGGUUUAAUAAGUCAGUGGUGAAAGCCCAUCGCUCAACGGUGGAACGGCCAUUGAUACUGUUAAACUUGAAUUAUUAGGAAGUAACUAGAAUAUGUAGUGUAGCGGUGAAAUGCUUAGAGAUUACAUGGAAUACCAAUUGCGAAGGCAGGUUACUACUAAUGGAUUGACGCUGAUGGACGAAAGCGUGGGUAGCGAACAGGAUUAGAUACCCUGGUAGUCCACGCCGUAAACGAUGGAUACUAGCUGUUGGAAGCAAUUUCAGUGGCUAAGCGAAAGUGAUAAGUAUCCCACCUGGGGAGUACGUUCGCAAGAAUGAA